This 279-nucleotide ribosomal RNA is filed under the name uncultured bacterium. RNAcentral describes it as "partial 16S ribosomal RNA". It matches the Rfam family "Bacterial small subunit ribosomal RNA", at positions 337 to 633 of the family's 1533-position model. The record is from RNAcentral.
UCCUACGGGGGGCAGCAGUGGGGAAUAUUGCACAAUGGGGGAAACCCUGAUGCAGCGACGCCGCGUGAGCGAAGAAGUAUCUCGGUAUGUAAAGCUCUAUCAGCAGGGAAGAAAAUGACGGUACCUGACUAAGAAGCCCCGGCUAACUACGUGCCAGCAGCCGCGGUACUACGUAGGGGGCAAGAGUUAUCCGGAUUUACUGGGUGUAAAGGGAGCGAAGGCGGCGCGGUAAGUCUGAUGUGAAAGCCCGAGGCUCAACCCCGGGACUGCAUAGGAAAC